Ictalurus punctatus (channel catfish) is the source of this 419-nucleotide long non-coding RNA. RefSeq lists it as uncharacterized. The transcript has 2 exons. The record is from RefSeq and is a predicted model, not a curated record. NCBI's taxonomy places the organism in Eukaryota, Metazoa, Chordata, Actinopteri, Siluriformes, Ictaluridae.
AGGGUGGGAGCUACCUGAUUAUUUAAGGACCCUUAUUUUGGUAGACGCAUAGGUGUCUUGGUGAUUCUGAGUUCCUUGCUCCCCUGGCAUUUCCAGUUCCCAUUUCUGUUCAGGACCAGUGAGUCUUGGUGGGUCAGGGGAGACUAGCUGCAUUUAUUCGGUGGUGUGCUUCACAGCGUGCUCAGUGUGCCAAUACAACAACUUCCUUAUGGUGUAGGGAGUGUUUGAUGAUUUUGGUGUGACUUGCAAUGGGUUUGGAUGACCUCCCGAGCUGUAGCUGGCCUGCCUUGUCCCUGCCAAGCCUGGGCCUGGAGAAGUGCUCAGUUUUAAAACCCUUAUUGUGCUUCAUCGGAGAGCAAUUUGAUAUUUACAUGUCAAGUUUUAAUGAUUAUGUGUCAUAAUAAAAUGUAUUUUUAUUA